Molecule: ribosomal RNA, 253 nt
Filed under: uncultured bacterium
Lineage: Bacteria
Description: partial 16S ribosomal RNA
Rfam family: Bacterial small subunit ribosomal RNA
Source: RNAcentral
UACGAAGGGUGCAAGCGUUACUCGGAAUUAUUGGGCGUAAAGAGCUCGUAGGCGGCUUGUCGCGUCGUCUGUGAAAACCCGCAGCUCAACUGCGGGCUUGCAGGCGAUACGGGCAGGCUAGAGUUCGGUAGGGGAGACUGGAAUUCCUGGUGUAGCGGUGGAAUGCGCAGAUAUCAGGAGGAACACCGGUGGCGAAGGCGGGUCUCUGGGCAGUAACUGACGCUGAGGAGCGAAAGCGUGGGGAGCGAACAGG